This is a long non-coding RNA of Aquila chrysaetos chrysaetos, 810 nucleotides long. RefSeq lists it as uncharacterized. The transcript has 3 exons. Lineage: Eukaryota; Metazoa; Chordata; Aves; Accipitriformes; Accipitridae. The record is from RefSeq and is a predicted model, not a curated record.
AGUUACACAAGCGUUACAGAAGAAAUGGGACAAGGAUAACAAGAAGGGGGUAGUUAUCCAAGAGUUCAAAGGGCGUUCCUCUGAAAAUGUCCUCCAGCUACUCAUCUGGCAAGGAUGUAAUUUACAGAACUGUCACCUCGAUAGCGCUCAUCACGUUACGGUUGCUAGAAAGAAAGCUCCCAGCUAUUUCCAGGCUGGCGCUUCGUGUGUUGUAUUAUUGAAGGAUUCUUGGAUCCUUCCACUUUCCAGGCACGAGAAAGCGAUAACAGAUUUGUUCGUCUUGCAGAAGCAUGUUAGCCAAAACUGGAGGGAUCUGCGCAACCACCAGUAGCUUUUAAGUGCAAUUGCUGUACGUUGCUACGUUACCCAAGUUCUUUGCGUGCCAAGGUUAAAGCAACUGGAAUGCCGAAGUUUUUGUUUGAUUACAACUCCUAAUUACACAGCUAGGCGAGACAGUUUUUUGAAGUUCAUUAACCUGUUACUUGACCUUGAUUUAAUCUCCAGCCUGUGUUUUUGGUCUGCAACAAUGGAUUCAAAGGCCAUUUUUGCUCUGGUGAAUGAAGCUGUACCCGUGCCGGGACCCAUGCCAGGGGCAGGAGACGCAGGUUUUAAAAAACAGACCUAAUCUUUCAGGAGUCGAUCCAAAGCCCACAGAAAGGAACUCAUUGAUUCCCAUGAGGUUUGGAUCAGCUCUGGGAUGAGCUGUGUAAAACUUGAACAUUUUUUCAAGGAAAAAACGUACACUUCUAAGGUCCUGUUUGCAUCUGGCUGUUGUCUGGUGUAUUUCCCCUGAAACCUGAACGUUAUUAA